AGGGCAUCCUCUUCCCUUGACUACAGUGAUUGGCUCAGGGUUGCACAGGGGACUCGAACUGGUGCAGAUGGAGUCAACCCCAGGACAUUGGCAUGAGUGUUGGGAAAGAUGUGUCCUCCUUCUGCUUGGGUGACCACAAUGGGAGGCCUUCCCUGCCACCUCCAGGAAAAUGUCAGGCCAGAGUGAAGCUCACAGAGAGGCAAGAAAGGUCUGGGAAGAAGAGACCUGACCUGGCCUUGGGGUGCAGAAGUGGUGGCCACUGGUGGACACAGAGCUGCUCACUGCAAAUCCUGUCAUUUGAUUCAUCUUCCUGAGAAGACUACGACCUUGUGCAGGAUGCUGUGUUAAAGUCAUUCCUCACCUCCUGCAUUUCCACCUCUGCCUCUGUGGGUCGCGAGCCACUUCACUUCCAUUUUCCUGUCUGCAAAAUAGGUUGAAGUCUGCCAAGCAGGCUGGGAAAAGCAUCAUGGUGUCUCAGGAUGGGGCCCCCUGUCCCCAGUGCUCCAGAAGAAGUCAAUGUUAUUAUUCUGGGGCAGUCAUAUCCUGAUCAUUAAUUUAUGACAAUGUUAGAAACAACAACAAUUAUAAUAAUGACUGGUUUUUAUGGAGUCGUUCUUACUACUCUAGCAGGAAUAAUCAAUUUAUUAUGUCAUUAAACAUCCUAAUAGCUAUUUGAGGCAGAUUCUAUUACCAGCAUUUUUUAUCUUAAAAAUGAAGUAACAGACACAGAGAAGUGGAAUAACUUUCCCCAUGUCCUCCAGUUAGAAACUAAUCCAGGAGUCUGUCUUCCACACUGACUCCUUCUGCGCCAGGCUGUGCUUCCACCGAUGUGUCCUCAGUGCCAGGUGGGCAUGGCCCAUGGCUAGACUUGAAGGAUACAGCCAUGGUCCCUGACCUCAUGGAGGACGCAGUUUUUAACAUCCAGGCUUUAACACUCCGCAGACCACUUGAUUAGCACAUAGCACCCAUAUUGAGAUGAUCCGUUGACAGGCUUGUCUCCCUGGACCGGGCACCCCUCAAGGGAGAGGACCCUGCUUCAUCACCCCCGUAUAGCCCACUGUCUGGCAAGAAUAUUAAUGUUUCAUCUUUCCUGGGACUUUAUUCUGGAGUUAUAUUUUGCUGUGCUUGGUUCUGUUUGAUUGUUCCAACAUCAGGACCGUAUCGAUUUGCUUCCAGUGGCUCUGAAAUCACUUAAGACCAGUGGUCCCGCCCCUAGUUGAUUCCAUCUUGUUUUUUUUUUUUUUUGGCUGUCUUUUUUUUUUUGAGAUGGAGUUUCUGCUCUUGUUGCCCGUGCUGGAGUGCUUGGCAACUCGGCUCACUGUAACCUCUGCCUCCUGGGUUCAAGCGAUUCUCCCGCCUCAGCCUCCUGAGUAGCUGGGAUUACAGGUGUAUGCCACCACACCUCACUAAUUUUUGUAUUUUUAGUAGAGACGGGGUUUCAACAUGUUGGCCAAGCUGGUCUCGAACUCCUGACCUCAGGUGAUCUGCCCACCUCCACCUCCCAAAGUGCUGGGAUUACAGGCGUGAGCCACCGCACCUGGUCUCCUUGGCUGUUCUUAAACAUGGGCUCUUGCGUAAGAAUUUGAAGAUAAUUUUAACCUGGAGUCGGUCUGUGUAAAUUUAAACCCUGCCUCUACCUCUCACAACGUGGGCCAGUCACUCACCCCCUUGUGUCUCAGUUUCCUCAUCUGUAAGUGAUGGGUGGGAACAAUGACAGGUGAAUGGAGCUUCAAAGAAGUUGAGUGAUGUCAGGUGUGCUAAGGCAGUUGCAACAGUGCCCAGAGUGUGGUAAUCGCCCAAUCAAUGGUAGUUUCCUUUCUUCUUUUUUUUUUUGUAGAUGGACUCUCACUCUGUCACCCAGGCUGGAGUGCAGUGGCACGAUUUCAGCUCACUGCAACUUCUGCCUCCAGGGUUCAAGCGAUGUUCCUGACUCAGCCUCCUAAGUAGCUGGGACUACAGGCACAUGCCACCAUGCCAGGCUAAUUUUUGUAUUUUUAGUAGAGACAGGGUUUCACUAUGUUGGCCAGGCUGGUCUUGAACUCCUGACCUCAAGUGAUCCACCCACCUUGGCCUCCCAAAGUGCUGGGAUUACAGGCAUGAGCCACUGUGCCCGGCCUCAAUAAAUGGUAGCUAUUUAAUUAUCAUUAUUAUUGAAAUUUAUGUGAAAUAGGAAGUCUUCAGUCCUGCUUGCUC
Molecule: long non-coding RNA, 2193 nt
Filed under: Pan paniscus (pygmy chimpanzee)
Lineage: Eukaryota; Metazoa; Chordata; Mammalia; Primates; Hominidae
Description: lncRNA (ENSPPAG00000045161.1)
Source: RNAcentral